CACCAUCACAGAAACAUAACAGUGCCGACAAAUACAUCUCUCUCUCUUGUUUUUGCUGUUUUACAGGUGGGUUCUUCUUGUUUUGAAGAAAAGAAGAGAAGAGUAUCCUCCAUGGCUAACCCUCCUUCAACCAGAGGCGCCCCUCUGGCGAUCCCAAACCGCUCAUCAAGCCUUCUUCCUUUAUGGGGACGAUGCCGAGGAAGGGCUUAGAGAAGAGGGAGUGAGAGAAACAGAAAACACAGUAAUGGUGAUCCAAGCAGAUGGGUAUGACUGGAAAAAAUAUGGCCAAAAGUUCAUCAAGAACAUAGGGAAAACCAGAAGCUAUUUCAAGUGCCAGAAGAAGAACUGCAAAGCCAAGAAGCGAGUGGAGUGGUCUGCCUCCAACCCAACGAACAUCCAAAUCAUCUGCGAAGGGGAACACACGCAUCAUCCUCAUCAUCAACAACAGCAAGGUGGUUCUUCUACUCAACAUGAUGAAGAAGCUUCUAAUUCCACUUCAAGGGUCAACAACCAGUAUAAUUUGUACACACAAUUCUUUGGUGAUCAAAAUAACACCCAACUCCCAGGCUCCUAGCUAGAUGAUGUCUUCUCUUGCUAGCUAGCUACCUCAAUCUGCACCCUCGAUCUCAUCAUCAGGGCUUAUCUUAAUUCUCAUCAAACCCUUCAUGAUCAGUAAAGAUGAAAUAAGGCUUGAUCAGACUCUUGAGUACAACUGCCUUAUCUCGUCAGUAGUUAUGUUUCAAUAAGGCUUGAUCAGACUCUUGAGUACUGCAAUUAGCUUCAACAGGGCCACAGGGGUACGUACAGGCUAUAUAUAUAUAUGGUUCUAUACUUCACUAAUAUUGGCAUUAUCAAGCAGGAGGAUAUACACACAUCGAUCUGAAUAUUAAUUAUUCUUUCCUGGCC
RNA transcript from Macadamia integrifolia, 906 nucleotides. It is a transcript of the gene named probable WRKY transcription factor 58, with no coding region annotated. The record is from RefSeq and is a predicted model, not a curated record. Lineage: Eukaryota; Viridiplantae; Streptophyta; Magnoliopsida; Proteales; Proteaceae. The transcript is spliced from 4 exons.